UACGGAGGGUGCGAGCGUUGUCCGGAAUCAUUGGGCGUAAAGGGCGUGUAGGCGGAUCCGUAAGUCUGGUUUUAAAGACCGGGGCUCAACCCCGGGGAUGGACUGGAUACUGUGGAUCUUGACCUCUGGAGAGGUCGCUGGAAUUCCUGGUGUAGCGGUGGAAUGCGUAGAUACCAGGAGGAACACCAAUGGCGAAGGCAGGCGACUGGACAGAAGGUGACGCUGAGGCGCGAAAGCGUGGGGAGCGAACAGG
RNAcentral lists this ribosomal RNA (253 nucleotides) under uncultured bacterium. RNAcentral describes it as "partial 16S ribosomal RNA". It matches the Rfam family "Bacterial small subunit ribosomal RNA", at positions 524 to 776 of the family's 1533-position model. The record is from RNAcentral.